GACCCAAAUAUGAGUGGCUUUAGAUAUUUUACCCCAAUAAGAAAUGUCUUUGAAGAAUAACCUUCCUUACUUUUUAAUAUAGUACAAGUACCAUUUUGCCCCUCUACACUUCAAAUAUAUUUUUAAACUUUUCAUACUUAUUGGUCUCACAAAUUUUAUUUUUUAUUAUUUUCACUUUUUUAUUUUUUUCUUUACUUUUAUUAUUCUACUUUUUUUCCACUUUUUAUUUUUUU
Molecule: long non-coding RNA, 233 nt
Filed under: Capsicum annuum
Lineage: Eukaryota; Viridiplantae; Streptophyta; Magnoliopsida; Solanales; Solanaceae
Description: long non-coding RNA (CANN_LNC022132)
Source: RNAcentral